Molecule: ribosomal RNA, 483 nt
Filed under: uncultured bacterium
Lineage: Bacteria
Description: partial 16S ribosomal RNA
Rfam family: Bacterial small subunit ribosomal RNA
Source: RNAcentral
GUGAACGCUGGCGGCAGGCCUAACACAUGCAAGUCGAGCGGCAGCGCGGGGGCAACCCUGGCGGCGAGCGGCGGACGGGUGAGGAAUUCGUCGGAAUCUGCCUUUUUGUGGGGGAUAACGUAGGGAAACUUACGCUAAUACCGCAUACGUCCUACGGGAGAAAGUGGGGGACCGCAAGGCCUCACGCAGAAAGAUGAGCCGACGACCGAUUAGCUAGUUGGUGGGGUAAAGGCCCACCAAGGCGACGAUCGGUAGCUGGUCUGAGAGGAUGAUCAGCCACACUGGGACUGAGACACGGCCCAGACUCCUACGGGAGGCAGCAGUGGGGAAUAUUGGACAAUGGGCGCAAGCCUGAUCCAGCCAUGCCGCGUGUGUGAAGAAGGCCUUCGGGUUGUAAAGCACUUUUGUCCGGAAAGAAAUCUCUGGAGCUAAUACCUUCGGGGGAUGACGGUACCGGAAGAAUAAGCACCGGCUAACUUCGUG